Molecule: long non-coding RNA, 1312 nt
Organism: Ictalurus punctatus (channel catfish)
Lineage: Eukaryota; Metazoa; Chordata; Actinopteri; Siluriformes; Ictaluridae
Source: Ensembl
AACAGCGCUCGUCUCCGGCUCCAUAAGAGAUCCCACGAACCUGAGAUGGCUAGCUGCCUCAGCAGCGGCCAGCCCAGAUCUGCGUGGCUCUGAAACCCAACUCGCUUCGACUUCCGAGAAGAGCUUAAGUACUGUCGCCCAUUGAUGAUGUCAUCUUUGGGGUGGAGCAGCACACAAAGCUGAGGGAGCAACAUCCAAGGAAGGGUCAUGGUGGAUCCGGAGCCUAUCCCAGAAAUAGGAAAUCCCAGGUGGAGGAGCACAAGGUCUCUAACAUCCACCAACUCCGUGAUGUCGUCAUGGAGGACAUCCAGUGGCAACCUGUGAAGCUCUGGUGAACUCCAUGCCCAAGAGGGUUAAGGCAGUGCUGGAAAAUAACGGUGGCCACACAAAAUAUUGACACUUUGGGCCCAAUUUGGACAUUUUCACUUAGGGGUGUACUCACUUUUGUUGCCAGCAGUUUAGAAAUUAAUGGCUGUGUGUUGAGUUAUUUUGAGGGGACAGCAAAUUUACACUGUUAUACAAGCUGUACACUCACUACUUUACAUUGUAGCAAAGUGUCAUUUCUUCAGUGUUGUCACAUUAAAAGAUAUAAUCAAAUAUUUACAAAAAUGUGAGGGGUGUACUCACUUUUGUGAGAUAAUGUAGGUCUCCUUUAAUUCUGGUUAACAGGUACAGACAAUCAGUGGCUAACAGAAUUUAUCUAGCUCAGUAAUGUCGAGGCCAAAAGUUCUUCACAAGGUUAACAUGACAAAAAGAGAGGACAGGGUUUAGGUUGUAAAUCUUACCAAUCUCUGUAAUGUUGGUAGACUGUCUUCCCAGAUGGCAGGGAGAUUGUCACGAAGCGGGAACGGCGGCAGAAGUAAUUGCAGUUAAGAGCUUUUAUUUAGAAGGCGGCAGGAAGACAAAUCCAAAACUUGAAACAGAGGCGUAGUCGAAAACAGGCAAUGGGUCGGGCAAUCAGCAAACAAGCAUAUACUGGGCUAGGCAGCAAUCGAAAAACGAGGUCUCAGAAAAUGGGAUCAAAAGCAUGAAACAUGAAACUACGACAGGGAACUGGGAGUGGAAACCACCAGCGUGGACAAAGGGAACUAAUGUAAUACUCUGCGAGGUGUACAGGGAAGCGAGUGGUAUAUAUCCUGAACAUAAUCAGCAUUAAGUGCUGGCAGCUGAAAACAAUGAAGACACACCCUCGAACUACAACCAGUGACAGAACAGGGAGGAGACAGAACAGAAACAAAACAAACACGUGUCCAUAGUAAACAAUGUCUCAGUUAUCAACAUACGAUAAGCAUGCGCUCGCUGAGCACUUGCG